RNAcentral lists this ribosomal RNA (277 nucleotides) under uncultured Oscillospiraceae bacterium. Its description in RNAcentral is "partial 16S ribosomal RNA". It matches the Rfam family "Bacterial small subunit ribosomal RNA", at positions 511 to 788 of the family's 1533-position model. Lineage: Bacteria; Bacillati; Bacillota; Clostridia; Eubacteriales; Oscillospiraceae. The record is from RNAcentral.
GCAGCCGCGGUAACACGUAGGGGGCGAGCGUUAUCCGGAUUCAUUGGGCGUAAAGCGCGCGCAGGCGGCGCGCCAAGCGGGACCUCUAAUCUGGGGGCUCAACCCCCAGCCGGGUCCCGAACUGGCGCGCUCGUGUCCGGUAGGGGAGGUCGGAAUUCCCGGUGUAGCGGUGGAAUGCGCAGAUAUCGGGAGGAACACCGAUGGCGAAGGCAGACCUCUGGGCCGCGACAGACGCUGAGGCGCGAAAGCUAGGGGAGCGAACAGGAUUAGAUACCCC